This 492-nucleotide ribosomal RNA is filed under the name uncultured bacterium. Its description in RNAcentral is "partial 16S ribosomal RNA". It matches the Rfam family "Bacterial small subunit ribosomal RNA", at positions 28 to 507 of the family's 1533-position model. The record is from RNAcentral.
GGUGAACGCUGGCGGUAGGCCUAACACAUGCAAGUCGAACGGCAGCACAGUAAGAGCUUGCUCUUACGGGUGGCGAGUGGCGGACGGGUGAGGAAUACAUCGGAAUCUACUUUUUCGUGGGGGAUAACGUAGGGAAACUUACGCUAAUACCGCAUACGACCUACGGGUGAAAGCAGGGGAUCUUCGGACCUUGCGCGAUUGAAUGAGCCGAUGUCGGAUUAGCUAGUUGGCGGGGUAAAGGCCCACCAAGGCGACGAUCCGUAGCUGGUCUGAGAGGAUGAUCAGCCACACUGGAACUGAGACACGGUCCAGACUCCUACGGGAGGCAGCAGUGGGGAAUAUUGGACAAUGGGCGCAAGCCUGACCCAGCCAUACCGCGUGGGUGAAGAAGGCCUUCGGGUUGUAAAGCCCUUUUGUUGGGAAAGAAAAGCAGCAGGUUAAUACCCCGCUGUUCUGACGGUACCCAAAGAAUAAGCACCGGCUAACUUCGUG